UACGUAGGUGGCAAGCGUUAUCCGGAAUUACUGGGCGUAAAGCGCACGCAGGCGGUCUUUUAAGUUUGACGUGAAAGCUCCCGGCUUAACUGGGAGAGGUCGUUGAAUACUGGAAGACUUGAGGCAAUGAGAGGGGUGUAGAAUUCCCGGUGUAGUGGUGGAAUGCGUAGAGAUCCGGAGGAACACCAGCGGCGAAGGCGGCAUCCUGGACUGGUCCUGACACUCAGGAGCGAAAGCGUGGGGAGCGAUCCGG
Molecule: ribosomal RNA, 253 nt
Filed under: uncultured bacterium
Lineage: Bacteria
Description: partial 16S ribosomal RNA
Rfam family: Bacterial small subunit ribosomal RNA
Source: RNAcentral